Molecule: ribosomal RNA, 446 nt
Filed under: uncultured bacterium
Lineage: Bacteria
Description: partial 16S ribosomal RNA
Rfam family: Bacterial small subunit ribosomal RNA
Source: RNAcentral
CCUACGGGUGGCAGCAGUCGAGAAUCAUUCACAAUGGGGGAAACCCUGAUGGUGCGACGCCGCGUGGGGGAAUGAAGGUCUUCGGAUUGUAAACCCCUGUCAUGUGGGAGCAAAUUAAAAAGAUAGUACCACAAGAGGAAGAGACGGCUAACUCUGUGCCAGCAGCCGCGGUAAUACAGAGGUCUCAAGCGUUGUUCGGAAUCACUGGGCGUAAAGCGUGCGGAGGCUGUUUCGUAAGUCGUGUGUGAAAGGCGCGGGCUCAACCCGCGGACGGCACAUGAUACUGCGAGACUAGAGUAAUGGAGGGGGAACCGGAAUUCUCGGUGUAGCAGUGAAAUGCGUAGAUAUCGAGAGGAACACUCGUGGCGAAGGCGGGUUACUGGACAUUAACUGACGCUGAGGCACGAAGGCCAGGGGAGCGAAAGGGAUUAGAUACCCGAGUAGUC